AGAGGGCGUGAAACCGCUUAGAAGGAAACGAGAGGCGUUGCUUUUUUUAACGAGAUUCAUCUGCUAUUUGUGCAUUUGUAUGAAUUGUAGAGCAUUUCUUGUUAGUUCGCACUGAGAGCAGUAAUUAUAACUGAGUGUUUAAUCAGAGUAAAGCAUUCUUUUUAUGCCGCUUAUGAUUAAUGCAGAUUUUUAAUCUACUGUUAUAAAACACCCAUAAUUGUUUAUUUUCGUCUGAAGGUCAAUGUGCAUUUCUUGUUCGAAAUUUCGACGAGAUUUGUGAAUAUAUUCCGGAUGAUGUUAUAUAAAUAGGUGGUGUCUCGGUGUUAAUGUCGACUAACCUCCCGACCCGUCUUGAAACACGGACCAAGGAGUCUAUCAUGUGCAUAAGUCAUUGGGUUUGUAAAACCUAUUGGCAUAAUGAAAGUAAAUACUGAUUUGGUCAGUUGACGCACGAUCCAGUCGGAUUUAUCUGAUUGGCGCAGUGUGGUCCCAUUUCGAAUGCUUGUCAUUGAGGUGGAGACUGAAUGUACAUGUUGGGAC
Molecule: ribosomal RNA, 540 nt
Filed under: Desmoscolecidae sp. 693_5-1500_X
Lineage: Eukaryota; Metazoa; Nematoda; Chromadorea; Desmoscolecida; Desmoscolecidae
Description: eukaryotic LSU rRNA
Rfam family: Eukaryotic large subunit ribosomal RNA
Source: RNAcentral